This 407-nucleotide ribosomal RNA is filed under the name uncultured bacterium. Its description in RNAcentral is "partial 16S ribosomal RNA". It matches the Rfam family "Bacterial small subunit ribosomal RNA", at positions 30 to 526 of the family's 1533-position model. The record is from RNAcentral.
AUUGAACGCUGGCGGCAUGCCUAACACAUGCAAGUCGAGCGGAGCGGCGAACGGGUGAGUAAUGCCUAGGAAUGUGCCUGGUAGUGGGGGAUAACGUCCGGAAACGGGAGCUAAUACCGCAUACUAUCGGAUGAGCCUAUGUCGGAUUAGCUAGUUGGUGGGGUAACGGCCCACCAAGGCGACGAUCCGUAACUGGUCUGAGAGGAUGAUCAGUCACACUGGAACUGAGACACGGUCCAGACUCCUACGGGAGGCAGCAGUGGGGAAUUUUGGACAAUGGGGGAAAGCCUGAUCCAGCCAUGCCGCGUGUGUGAAGAAGGUCUUCGGAUUGUAAAGCACUUUAAGUAGGGAGGCGUUACCAACAGAAUAAGCACCGGCUAACUUCGUGCCAGCAGCCGCGGUAAUUC